CCGGCGCACGGGUGAGUAACACGUAUGCAACCUGCCCUCUUCAGGGGGACAACCUUCCGAAAGGGAGGCUAAUCCCGCGUAUAUCGGUUUCGGGCAUCCGAGAUCGAGGAAAGAUUCAUCGGAAGAGGAUGGGCAUGCGGCGCAUUAGCUAGACGGCGGGGUAACGGCCCACCGUGGCGACGAUCAGUAGCCGGCCUGAGAGGGCGGACGGCCACACUGGGACUGAGACACGGCCCAGACUCCUACGGGAGGCAGCAG
Molecule: ribosomal RNA, 258 nt
Filed under: uncultured bacterium
Lineage: Bacteria
Description: partial 16S ribosomal RNA
Rfam family: Bacterial small subunit ribosomal RNA
Source: RNAcentral